This is a long non-coding RNA of Thamnophis elegans (Western terrestrial garter snake), 2412 nucleotides long. RefSeq lists it as uncharacterized. The transcript has 3 exons. Lineage: Eukaryota; Metazoa; Chordata; Lepidosauria; Squamata; Natricidae. The record is from RefSeq and is a predicted model, not a curated record.
ACAUCUGGUCACCUUAGUGUGUGUAUAUAUAUAUAUAUAUAUGAGAUAAAAGUAUGUGGUAUUAGUUGGAUGCCUAUACUAUAUAAUUUUUUGCAACUCUUCUGAUUACAUGGCCAGUAGAGGGUGCUGUGGGAUUUUUCUACCGGGCCUUUCUGUUUAUGGGGGAGCUGUAAAUGUAACUCUCAUACUAUCAAUUUUUAACACUGGUGAGCAGGUAUGUAAUUAUCUGAUGACUUCCAGUCAUGGUACAGAGGAAAUGAACAAUAAAAAUUCUUUCAAAAAUCAGCACAAGUUAUCUAUACUGCUACCCAUUGAUGCUUUGUAUUAGCAAAAGAUGGCCUAGAUGGUCUUUGGCGAAGCUUCCAAACUUGUGGAUACUGAGAUUUAAUAUGCAUUGUUUGUGUUCUUGUCUUAACCAGUAAGAAAACCAUUUGAAUAUGCGCUGGCUGACUGGAAGUGAGGGGAAAGUACAAUGGUGAAACAUCUUAUGAGAGUUGGCAAAUUGGACCAUUGAUUGGAUGGGAGAGUAGAUGAAGAUUGCUGAAGGGAAAAAUGGAGAAAGAUGACAUUUGAUGGAGAAAGAUUUUAUCUAAGGGUUGUGCCACGGAUGGUAAUUUGAUCAAUUUGCACAAGGUAGUUCUCGAAUUACAACCACAUUUGGAACCAUAUACUAAGUGAUGAGUUUGUUAAUUGCAAGUUCAAACCCAAAAGCAUCUCUUUUCUCAAGGCUUUCAGCAAGCAGGGAACACAAGUUUGUGGAGCCUGGAAUGCAGGAAUUGGGAUGAUGUCAGUGGUGAGUCUAAUCCAGGCCUCCUAUCUUGAGUCAUUGUUGAAGUAGAACUCAAUGGCAGAUAACCUUGGAGGAGCUACUUAAGUGUCUUGCCGUUCCUUUUCUGUUUGUGGUCCAAUUGCUGUGGUUUUCAAUCUGCUAAGUCCAGAUUUCUUUGACAAUAAAUAUCAUUUCAUUGACUUACAACAAUCUACAUCUGAAGUUAAGUGCCAGGGCAAAGCUACAAAACUUCCUCCUGUAUAUUAAGGCUCCUCCUCAUAAUUCUCCUCCAAUAUCAUUACAGUAACAUGUAAUAUUUACAUUAAAGAGAUUUAAAGCAGUGCUCUAGAUUAAGCCUAGACUAGUACCUUGGUUCCUGCUAAAAUGUGCAUUCCAAACCUUGAUUUGUGUCAGCUACCUCUAAAUGAAAUUUCAUGGCAUAAUUCACAUUGGUAAAAUCAGCAUGUUAGCAGGAACAGAGGCUAAUCUAGUUUGUUAAACUUAUUGGAUUAUCUGACUGACUGAGAAAAGAUUAUUCUUCUUUUAAACUGUCCUGAAUUUUAUUGCAAGUAGCCUGAAAAGAUUUGAGAUGUUAUAUGAUUUAUAAAAAUUAAUUGAAGCAUUUAGUUACACAGCAAAGACUGUCAGUUAAUUACAGAAUGCUAUGUUUCAUUCAGCAGCAGUUUGAAAAGGUCUCAUCCUUUGAAAGGAAGCACAGAAUCAAAACAGCCAUAUAUAAAAACACUGGUAGCCAGUCACCUUGUCUCUACACCUAUUUCAUAACUGUUAACUAAGCUUACCUAGAACAGUAGCUCUUCUCCCAAAAGAUUCUCUGGAGUGAUUCAACUACUGAGGCAUUCCUUUUUUUUAUCUCCACAUCUGCAUUUAGUGCAAUAAAGUUUAAAAAUUUUACUCUGAAAUAUUUACUUUUAUAUUAACAAAAAUAGUUUCUUUAAAAAAUUGUAACAAAAGAAUAUAUAGCAUAAAACAGAUCAUGAAAUUAUUCUCUGCAAUUACACUAUAAGCAUUUAUCAUUACAUCAAGCCAAACAGAGAAAUAUUAGCAUUCAUUACAUAGUAAAUUUCAGAAUGAAGAAAGGAAUUUAACACACAAAACUGAUUACUUGAUAAAUGAAAGCUACCAACAGGCAAUGAAGUUCUUCCAGAGGUCUCUGGCUAUUCAUAUUAAUAGGGAAGGAGCCUUAUCAAACUCUGGAACCUUCUGGAAAGCAAGGUUUACCAAUCAUGCUUUUGUCUUGAUCUAAUACAAAAACCAGAAGCAGAAACACAUUCCUGGUUAUUACUUCAAACUACAGGAUGUUUCCCCAUAAAAGUACCAUCUUGCACCGUAAGAUCUAAAAUAGUUGUUCUGGCCCAAUCAUGCUAGCUUUUGUUGUAUAAUGAUUUUUGGUGAGAUGAUCAGGAACAAACUUAGCAGUUUGUCUCCUGGUUAUGGACCCCAUGCAAAAGAAGCAGCCAGUUUUCUCAAUUGCUUCCUCAAUUACUUACAAAGUUAUAACUUGACUAACAUAAAAGUUGAUUAUCUCAAGGACUAUACUGUAUCUUAGAACAUCCCUAGAAAGCUGAUCUAUAAUAAGAAUCAAUCUUCUAAUGAAUGAGGGACAUGGAUCAAGCCUCAGAAUA